CAUAAUGCAGAUUGGUUUUACAAACCAUAAUAAAUGAAUCGACAGUGCGCUUAAAAGGAAACUUUUUGCACCAAAACUUUCCCCGAAACAUGUGGGACAACAUCAAAUUUCGUAAGACACCUGCAAAGGCAUCACAAAGAGAGCAGUCCAGAGCAGGCAGCUGAAGGGAGCAGCAAGAAGAGAAGACAGUACACGGACAGUCACUUGUCAUACGGCUUCACAUUUUCGGGGAUCCGUUAUGUCCUCUUCCUCUAUGUCUGAUUGACAGAGAUGUUAUCUUUCUAAUGAACGACUCAGAUCUGGCCAGCUAUAUUCCCUCAUAUGGAGAUAGACUUGCUCUUUUAAAUUUUUGCCGCAGUCAAAAGCCUGCUUCCAAAAGGAAGUUGGGUCUGUUUGAAAGACUAAGAGAAAAGAUGAAACUGAGAAAGCAAUCCACAACUGAACCCCAAUCUGAAGAGACACCUGGGACUUCCAAACUCAAAUCCAGAUCCAAAGCAAGUAAGCGACAGAUUGAAAUCGGCUGGAUUCAUAUAGAUAACAAAGAAACAAAACAGGUCAGAACAAAACAAGGAGGGGGUACUAGAAAGGUCACAAUGGACAUUAAUGCAGGAUACAAUGACAUCCUUAAAGAAGGUAAAGACCUUUUCUUCCCAGAUGGAAAUUCUAGUAAGGGUCACGAAUGUGACUUUUCAUUUGAAGUUUGGGACUUCAGACAAAAUGUUCUUCCUAGUGAUGUCUCAACUGGCACAAUAUAUAAGACAGUGAAACUGCCAAAUUUGCGUUUCUACAUAGCUACUAGACCAAAGGAGUCAGAUGCUGAGUCUGAAAAUGAUGAUACUAGCAUUAUCUCACUACAUAGUGAUUACAGUGAAGAUUUCGCAGACUUUUCUACAGUCGCCACAAACAACUCCACAGAUUUAUCAGUUGUCACAGAUAUUCGAGUGGUACCAGGCCAGAACAUCCCAUUAGCUGAGGAAGUUUUCAUCAUGGCAGAUGAUGUAAUGAAUGUCCCAUUUAAUAUUUCUGACCCUGAAAUCACUUUUGGCCCUAACCCAGUGGAUGAAUCUGACCUGGAGAACACAUUUCACAUGCCUAACCUCAACAAACCACUGAAAUUCAAACAAAACAGAUAAUUAUACAUCAUGGAAACUGCCUCCAUGACAUGAUCAAUAAAUUUUCUGACCCGGAGACUUUGACCAGGCAACUGGCCUUUAGACGCUUGAUGCCAGACAAUUCAGAGGAAGCUGGCUGUGGGUCAGGGGUUCUGCGAGAUGUAUAUACGUCCUUUUGGCAGGAAUUCUACGAUCAAUGUACCCUUGGAACUACAAUGAAAGUUCCUUUCAUUAGACACGAUUUCCAAGCUGACACUUGGAAAGCUGUUGGCAGAAUUUUCCUUAAAGGUUACAAAGACUGCCAGUACAUUCCAAUAAAGCUAGCACCCCCUUUUUUAGAGGAGAUGCUUUUUGGUGCAGUGUACAGUGACCUGACAGAUUGCUUCCUUCAGUUUGUAGCACCCAAGAACGAGAAAUUCUUCAGCACGCAUCACAGGAUUUCUCUUCGGUUGAACAUGAUGAUCUGUUGGAAGUUCUUGACAGUUACGAAUGCCGCAGAAAAGUCUCUGCUGAUAACUUCUCAGAAAUUCUGAAGGAGAUUUCCCACAAAGAGCUUGUCCAAAAGCCAAUGUUUGUGUUAGACUGUUGGAAGGACAUCACACAAUCACAGAUCUCCCUGACUUUUGAGGAGCUGCAAGAGAUGUAUGCUAAACUCUUCCCAACAACUAAAAAGGUCACAGGACUUUUGAAGUUCCCUGAUGAUAUGACAGCAAAGCAGAAGUGGCAAAUCAUCUGAAAAAGUACAUAAAAGAAUUGGAUGAUGAGAAACUAGGAAAGUUUCUGAGGUUCUGCACAGGAUGUCACUUGAUUGUGUCAGACCGCAUCUCUGUUGAGUUUGCAGUAAUGUCGGAUUUUACAAGGCGCCCUAUUGGCCAUACAUGUGGGAUGUUUCUUCAGCUGUGUGAGAGCUAUGAGAAUUUUCCAGACUUCCGUGCUGAAUUUAAUGCUGUUUUGGAGAGCAAUAUUUGGAUAAUGGACAUAGUUUAACAUGUUGUUCUCAAAACUUGACUCAGAACGUCUGAAAGUCAUUUUGAUUUCUGGUUUCGGUUAGGUCAGACCUUCAGCAUAAGUUAAAGACACACAUUUACCUUUGUUUGUUUUAGAAAUGUUGCCAAUCUUAGCUUGAAGACAAUUAUGUUACGGUCUUGGUCUGGUCUAGGUAUUUUUUGCACAUGGGUUGUUUUGUGGUUUGUCGAGCAUGUGGAUAGCCUGUGGCUGAUCCUGUGCUCGGUGUCUGCGUGUCUCUCCCCGCCCCGUGUCUCCUUAGACUUCCCCGCACUGGUGAAUUUCCACUCCACACUCACACGCCUGCUGUCUCAUUUCUCAUUUAGCUUUUGUUCCCGGUAAUUGCCCCACACCUGUCUGUUAUUACUUCUCGUUAUGUUUUCCCAUAUAUUCCCUUUGUGUCUCUCGUCUGUUGUCUGACCGUUGUUUUCGUAACCUGUUCAGACUGACCCAGACGUUGCCGCGGCACGUCUGAUGAAAUUCUAAAUCCUUGUCAUAGUCACAGUCUUUGUCUUGUUCAUUUGUCUGCUCACCUUGUCUGUUGCCUCAGUACCUCCUUGUCGUCUGAUAGCUCCCGUGGGCAUCCAGUGCAGCUACGGCCGUCGUCUGCCAGUGGUUUCCCGGAGAUUUGUAUAUCCAGAGUCGCACCAGGAUUGACUUCCGGAUCUCCUACACGGCACCCGGGCUGGGUGAGGAAGCCCUGCUCUCAUCCUUGGUCCUGGCCACCGUGCCCGACUCCUUCCGGGAUCUUCUCUUCUCACCACCAGCAUCCACGAACUGUACCACAUCUUACCACCGCGGGCUGAAACGCUCGCGGUUGGGUUAUUAUUCCUUGUCAGUUGUGCCGUCAAUAAAGUUUGGUUUACCGCAUCUGGGCCGUCUCUGUGCUUCAAUCAUGACAAAUUAUGCAAUGCUGUGAAUUAAGAAUGUACUGUAACUGCUUGAUCACAUUUAAAGCAGUUAAUGUGUCAAUAUAAUGAUGAUACACGUUAAUACAAAACAUGGCUAAAAAAAAUUAGAACUUUAUUGUCCAGCAUCAUACACUGUUUAUACAUGUAUUGUAUGCUAAGAGGUUUUAUUGUUCGUUUCAGUGCAGAGAGUUAUUUUAGUUGCUGUUAAAAGGCAAGGAGUUCUUCUUGUCAGUAAAAA
This is an RNA transcript of Triplophysa rosa, 3266 nucleotides long. RefSeq lists it as uncharacterized. The record is from RefSeq and is a predicted model, not a curated record. The transcript has 3 exons. NCBI's taxonomy places the organism in Eukaryota, Metazoa, Chordata, Actinopteri, Cypriniformes, Nemacheilidae.